RNAcentral lists this transfer RNA (84 nucleotides) under Candidatus Brocadiales bacterium. Its description in RNAcentral is "tRNA-Leu". It matches the Rfam family "tRNA". From Rfam's summary of the family: Transfer RNA (tRNA) molecules are approximately 80 nucleotides in length. Their secondary structure includes four short double-helical elements and three loops (D, anti-codon, and T loops). RNAcentral also lists the same sequence under 3 other names. The record is from RNAcentral. Lineage: Bacteria; Pseudomonadati; Planctomycetota; Candidatus Brocadiia; Candidatus Brocadiales.
GGGCGAGUGGUGGAAUGGCAGACACGAGGGACUUAAAAUCCCUUGGGCGAUGAGCCCGUGUGAGUUCGACUCUCACCUCGCCCA